RNAcentral lists this ribosomal RNA (424 nucleotides) under uncultured bacterium. RNAcentral describes it as "bacterial SSU rRNA". It matches the Rfam family "Bacterial small subunit ribosomal RNA", at positions 39 to 424 of the family's 1533-position model. The record is from RNAcentral.
GAAUUCACUAGUGAUUCAGGCCUAACACAUGCAAGUCGUACGCACUCUCGUGAUGAUUGAAGCUUGCUUCAUGAUUCACAUUCGAGUGAGUGGCGGACGGGUGAGUAACACGUGGGUAACCUGCCCUAAAGUGGGGGAUAACAUCUGGAAACAGGUGCUAAUACCGCAUAACAACUACUUUCACAUGAUCGUAGUUUGAAAGAUGGCUCUGCUAUCGCUUUUGGAUGGACCCGCGGCGUAUUAGCUAGUUGGUGAGGUAAUAGCUCACCAAGGCAAUGAUACGUAGCCGACCUGAGAGGGUAAUCGGCCACAUUGGGACUGAGACACGGCCCAAACUCCUACGGGAGGCAGCAGUAGGGAAUCUUCCACAAUGGGCGAAAGCCUGAUGGAGCAAAGGGGCGUGAGUGAAGAAGGUUUUCGGAUC